GGGGGAACUGAAACAUCUAAGUACCCCGAGGAGAAGAAAUCAACCGAGAUUCCGGUAGUAGCGGCGAGCGAACCUGGAUUAGCCCUUAAGCACUCGGUGAAGUAGGUGAACAAGCUGGAAAGCUUGGCGAUACAGGGUGAUAGCCCCGUAACCGACGCUUCAUCGAGCGUGAAAUCGAGUAGGGCGGGACACGUGAUAUCCUGUCUGAAUAUGGGGGGACCAUCCUCCAAGGCUAAAUACUCCUGACUGACCGAUAGUGAACCAGUACCGUGAGGGAAAGGCGAAAAGAACCCCUGUGAGGGGAGUGAAAUAGAACCUGAAACCGUGUACGUACAAGCAGUAGGAGCACCUUCGUGGUGUGACUGCGUACCUUUUGUAUAAUGGGUCAGCGACUUAUAUUCAGUGGCAAGGUUAACCGUAUAGGGGAGCCGUAGCG
Molecule: ribosomal RNA, 436 nt
Filed under: Vibrio cholerae
Lineage: Bacteria; Pseudomonadati; Pseudomonadota; Gammaproteobacteria; Vibrionales; Vibrionaceae
Description: partial 23S ribosomal RNA
Rfam family: Bacterial large subunit ribosomal RNA
Source: RNAcentral